ACAAAAACAUUGCUUCUUGACCUCCUAUAAGAAGUAAAUCCUGCCCAGUGAUCUAUUUCAACGGCCGCGGUAUCCUAACCGUGCAAAGGUAGCAUAAUCACUUGCCCAUUAAUUGUGGGCUAGAAUGAAAGGACUAACGAAAUAAAAACUGUCUCUAUAAGCUACCUAAAAAUUAAUCUUUAACUGAAGAGUGUUAAAUUUCCUCGAAGGACAAGAAGACCCUAUAGAGCUUUAUUUAAACAAAAAAUUAUCUUUUUUCUAAAUUCGGUUGGGGCGACCCGGGAAAUAAUCCUCCCUUCUAAAAAGAUAAAUUAAUCAUACUCUUGACCCUUAAUAAGAUCUUAAAAUCAAGCUACCUUAGGGAUAACAGGCUAAUCCUGCUAAAGAGCCCUUAUCAAUAGCAGGGAUUGGCACCUCGAUGUUGGCUUAGGGAAUCUAUAUGGCGCAAAAGUCAUAUAUAGA
This 462-nucleotide ribosomal RNA is filed under the name Eisenia fetida (common brandling worm). RNAcentral describes it as "partial 16S ribosomal RNA". It matches the Rfam family "Bacterial large subunit ribosomal RNA", at positions 1807 to 2572 of the family's 2925-position model. Lineage: Eukaryota; Metazoa; Annelida; Clitellata; Crassiclitellata; Lumbricidae. The record is from RNAcentral.